Molecule: unclassified non-coding RNA, 418 nt
Filed under: soil metagenome
Description: partial contains 5.8S ribosomal RNA, internal transcribed spacer 2, and large subunit ribosomal RNA
Rfam family: 5.8S ribosomal RNA (bases 1-120)
Source: RNAcentral
GAUGAAGAACGCAGCGAAAAGCGAUAAGUAAUGUGAAUUUCAGAAUUCAGUGAAUCAUCGAAUCUUUGAACGCACCUUGCGCUCCUUGGUAUUCCAAAGAGCAUGCCUGUUUGAGUAUCAUUAAUUUAUCAACUGUACCAAUUUGGUUGCAGAUUGGAUGUGGGAGAUUUUGCAGGCUUUUGAUUUCUCUUUGAGAAAACGGUCAGCUCUCCUGAAAUAUAUUAGCAGUGCCUUUGUUGGUUCAUUAGGUGUGAUAAUUUAUCUACAUCUUCACAUGGUACCUUCAUUUGUGUAAAGGUCAUAUUGCUUCUAAUUGUCUUUGGACAUAAAAAAAAAAAAACAUAUAAUUGUAUGGAAAACUUGAUCUCAAAUCAGGCAGGACUACCCGCUGAACUUAAGCAUAUCAAUAAGCGGAGGA